AGGUUACCAUCCUAUCCAUUUAAUUUAAGAUGAUUUGGAUGUCACAGGUAUAAGGUAAUUGAGGAAGUUGGGGAUGGUACCUUGGAACUAUAUGGCAAGCUGUAUACAAGCUAACUAGUGAGGUGGUUGUGGGUUUGUUGUAUAUGAAGUUCGAUCAAUAAUGGUAACUCCCUCUCCUUUUUGUUGCAUUGUAAAAAGAAAUACAUUUGCUUGGUUUGCUGGUUGCAGGUGGUUUAGCUGAAAAUCAUAUCUACUUUGCAAACCAUGUCAAGAUUUCUAGA
Long non-coding RNA from Magnolia sinica, 281 nucleotides. RefSeq lists it as uncharacterized. NCBI's taxonomy places the organism in Eukaryota, Viridiplantae, Streptophyta, Magnoliopsida, Magnoliales, Magnoliaceae. The transcript is spliced from 2 exons. The record is from RefSeq and is a predicted model, not a curated record.